AUUCAGCUGACGAGUCCUAAAUAAGAUGGAACGCGCUUCCUGGAU
Molecule: non-coding RNA, 45 nt
Organism: Schistosoma curassoni
Lineage: Eukaryota; Metazoa; Platyhelminthes; Trematoda; Strigeidida; Schistosomatidae
Source: Rfam